GGUAUGGGAGUCUAAAAUAAAAAUGAUAGAAUUUGUUCAUACUUUGCCAAAACGUAGUAUCUAUUGAUAUCUGUUGAAAAAUAUAAUAAAAAUGAUAGGUCACCGCUCAUUUUAUCAAGCUACAGGAUGUGACAAAAUGACACAUUUUGUAUGGAUUAUACAGGAAAAAACACCAUUUUGUGAUUAGGAACUUAACAAAAUGAUAGAAUUGUUAAAUACUUAAGGAAAAGAUAGCUUUCAGACAAUGCUUUGAGAAUAUCAAAAGAAAAGAUAGGGUCACCGUACGUUUUUUUCGGUUAAAAUACAAAAUAGGAAAAUUCCAUGUAGAAUCCUUCAGAAAAUGCACUGUUUUAGAGUUACCUCCCCUUAAAAUGCCAAUUUAAAUAAAAACUUAAA
This 396-nucleotide long non-coding RNA is filed under the name Mytilus galloprovincialis (Mediterranean mussel). The record is from RNAcentral. Lineage: Eukaryota; Metazoa; Mollusca; Bivalvia; Mytilida; Mytilidae.